CAAAUCCGACCUGUCCUGCAGAGGCCAGAUCUAAGGUCCCCUCCUCCAAGAAGCUUUCCUGACUCUGUGGCUCAGUCCUGUCCUUUACCUGUCGCUUCCUCCGUUGUGCAUGUUGUGGUAAGUCUUAGCUCCCUUACCAGACUGUAAGCUCCUUGAGAACGAGCACCAAGUCCCAUUUAUCUCCCUCCCUCUGAGCACAGAACCCUCAUAAGCAGCUGCUAAAGAAACCCUCAGCCUACAUUAUUGCAAAAUGGUACAGUGGUACCAUUUCUCUGAGGAAUACAAUGCCAAAAAAAAAAAAAGUGUAAAUAGUUUCCCUAUUUGUUACUCAGUAAAUUAUUGGAAGUUGAAGUUAUGAGGCUAUUGAGAAAAUUUAUAGGCUCUAAAGUGCUUUUACUAUUACUGCUGUGUUUCAUCUAGACUGUUGGUGGGUAAGCUAGCUGUGCUCAUGUACCGCACAGCCAAGAUACUGUCCAACCUGAUAACUCCUAAGUUUUUUCUGUAAGAGCAAGGGUAAGAAGACUUUAAUCUUUCGGUCUUAGCUCAUGAGAAACUAACCUUCUAAUCAAGCUAAUGCUUCAAAAGUAUCUAAGAAUAUACAUAAGCCAAGUCUAGGCUGUGUUAUUCUGAAUGAUAUAAGAAAAUGGAAGAGAUUUUCACAAUGGCUGAGAAAAGCGGGAAAUACGGAUUGGGCUGCCUGACAAUUGGUAAGUUGGGCCCAGAUGUGGGACACUCACAAUAACUGCUUAAUUCCCUUUCCUUAUCACUGCCUCUCACCAUUCGAUGCAAAAUAUUAUCUUAUUCUUACUGUCUCUUUCAUCACAUCAGACACCCCUUAUCGAGGACAAGAGACAGGGCGGUUUGCUGCAAGAACUGCUCCCAGCCAUUUCCAAAAAAGGGAAGACCUGAUUUUCCAGUUCUCAACAAGUCCAUUAAACAGCUUAAAAAAAAAAUAAUUAAAUAAACAAACAAACAAACAAGCACGUACCCUGCAAUACUUCUGCAGUUUUGCCCCUGUCUUUAGGGAGAUUACACUAGUUCUAAAUAGAAAGCGAUAAAUAAUUAUGACCUCAGUCUGCUCCUGCUUUCACACAGGCAGACAUUCUAAACGUUAGCUCCCUCUCCUAGCACCACCUGGUCCGCUCCUAACAAACCUCAAGAAAAAGAACUGCACUUUCCCUUGUCUUAUGACAUUAAAAAAAGAAGACAGAUGGUGACAUCAUGUGAAUUAUUCAUGUCAUCCUCACAUUAUUUAUAGUGGCGUAUUGAAGUGGGACGGUGAAGAGAAGUCUCUUUCGUUUACCCCAUCAGACCUGGUCUUACUCACGGCCUGCAGCGGAAUGAAACUGGAAGGACUGGAAUCAAGGUUAACUGCGACUCCUUUAUAAAUACUGAACCAAAAUGUUCAUUCCUGCUUUGGGGCUCUGCGUUUUUUCCAAAGUCACGCUCCGCAGGCCUAACUUCUGAAGGACCGCAACUCUCAGAGCCACGCUUCGGGGGCACAAGUCCCCUCGCAGAGGUGACACCUGCAGCAUUCGGCCUAACUGUCGAGUUUUGCUUCUCUCGCUCGCUGCUGCUGAAACGAGCGGACACUAACCCCCUCUACCUUGCGCAUGGGGGGUGGCAGGCGUUGGAAACAGGCUUCCUGUGUUUACAAAGGGCAAUUUAAAGAAGAGGAAAAAAACACAUCUUCUCAUGCACCAACGCUUGCUGUCCAGGUUUAAAGCACCGUGAACCGAAGGAGCGUCCGUCCGGGGAGCGCCCGCGCGGGCACGCGCCUGGGUCACCGGGGCAGGCUGGCGCCGCCGGCCCGGGAGCCCGGUCUCCUUACUGCACAGCCUCCCCCCGCAGGGCGGUGCGCCCCGGGGGCUGUGGGGGCCGGCGGGGGCCUCGGACGAGAAGCCGGAGCAGGUGCAGGCGCCGGGCGCAGGUGAGGAGGUGCGGACACCUGCACAAAGGCGAAGGCGCGAGCUUCCGGGGCGAAGCCGGCCGCCGGCGUCGGCUCCCGGCUCCCGGCUCCUGCCUACGCGCCAGCAGGUCGGAGGCUCGUCCGGGAGCCCGCGCGGCGGCCCAGCGCGCCCCGGGGAGCCCGGGGGGAGCCCCGGGGGAGCCCCGGGGGGGGGGGCCCGGCGGAGCCCCGACGCCCCCCCGCCCAGACCUCGGAGCAGAAUGGCUGGAUCUACGGUAACUCAAUGCUUAACCAGAGCUGCCAGAUAUUUUCCAAACAGCCACAUCACUUUCCGUUCCCACCAACAUGACAGAUGGGAUCUACAUCCUCUCCCCUUGAAACUGGAGGGCUUUUGUGACUGUUUCAACCAAUAGAGUAUGGCAGAGGUGACGCACCAUGGCUUCUGAGACCACUGUUAAAAGGGAAGUUUCUGCUUCUCUAAAUACUUGAUCUUGAAGCCUCCAACCUGACUGUCCGGAAGCCACCAUGCAGUGCGGAAGCCUGAGCGACCCCUGCAGACACUGCUUGGAAAGGCCCAGAGACUUCAGAGAUGUCCUGCUGCCCCCAGAUGUUUCAGCCCUCUGCCAUUCCAGUCCCAGCCACUGUCUGGCCGUAACUAUGUACAUGGCUCCUGGCUAGAACUCGAGUUCCUGAUCCACAGAAACCAAGAGAAAAAAUACCAAGAGAAAAAAUAGCUCUUAAAGCCAUGAUGGUCAGGCCUCUUGGAGGCCAGACUUGGGAGUUUUUUGGUGGUACCUUUUGGUUGUACCUGAAGCAACACCUUCAUUUACUUUGGUCCUAAGGACUCUCGUAUCACUGAAUUAUCACUUAUGAUCUCUGUGGGGAAGACUGUUUCAGUUAUCAUGCUAGGUCUACUGCCUAACGUGCCGACCAAGUCCACUUGGCUUGUAAUGGUUAGUUGACAUUAAUCGGCUUCUACAAAGGAUCUUUCCAGCUCUGAUGAAAUCAAAGAGCCAGUUAAAUAAUUUGGAAUGUGUUCCUUUCACCUGUCAAAGGCUUGGUUAAGGGACUGGAUUAUGGAUCUUCUGUGGGAAUAGCGAGGCCUUGUGAAGGUCCUCACAAUAUAAAUCCAUGGUAGCAUUUCUUUUUCCUAAAGAUGUUGGGUUCUUCUUUUUACAUUAUAUAUUAAUGGAGUUCUGAGUGGGUUGAUUGUCAAGCUGUUUCUUCAACCAGCUAAGCAAACAAUUAAAACCGCUCCCAGCAGCUCAAACCAAAAUGCUAAAUUCAGAGUCUCUGUUGACUGAACUCAAGUAAGACUCAAUAAUUUCUGAAACUAGGCUCUCCUUUUAACUGAUAACCAAAAUACUCCAUUCCUACCCAUAGGGUUCCAGGUUUUUCCUGAGACUCAGAAUCCUUCAAAUCCUUAUAAAUAUACACAUCCCAAUACUAUGCACCAUGCUUUUUGCCUCCCAAAUUUCCUUACCUUCACAUUAUAAAAACAAAAAACCCCCACAAAACUUGAUGACUCUGAAUUCAACUGGUAUUACUUGGUAACCUGCAAGAUCAAACAUAAAGUUUCACUUGCCUGUUUUAGGACUGUGAAUGCAAGAAAUGUUUAUAGUCACAGAAGAUCCCUGGGUUUCGCUCCCUGCCUUGACUUCAAGUAGCAGUCCUUGAAGUUCUCAUGCCUUUUUUGUUUUACAGCAGCUAUGAAGGAGAUACCCAAUGUCUUGUCUUCACUAGGCACUUCAUUAGCUGUCUCACCACAAGCUACCAGAUUCCCAGCGGGUCAGAUGCUAUUGAUGCUGCUAUGAUCCUGUUUCUAAUGUCCUGCCUUCAUUGUGGUGCUCAAGAUUGAUGGACCUGGUGCCUAAUGAUGAAGAAAAACAGGAUAUCUCCAACUUUGGUAUCUGUAGUGUGGGGCCAGGGGCAUUCCCAAAAUCAGGAAGGCAGUUUGGAUGAACAGCAGUCCUCCAAAGUACAUUUGUUUGAUGAAUUACCUUUGCUGUCCUUUUUUUCACUCUGUCUUCUUAAAGUCUCUAUUAUUUUAUAGGGUUCCAAAAGGGGAGACAAAUUCCUGUGAUCAGCUCUUAGCCUGACUGAUCCUAACUCUUCCUUUAAAAUCUUUUACUUAUUUUGGGAAAUUAAAAUAUUUAAAGAUGAAAACAAAGGAAAAAUGAACAAGUAUUCAUACUU
This is a long non-coding RNA of Nyctereutes procyonoides (raccoon dog), 4105 nucleotides long. RefSeq lists it as uncharacterized. The record is from RefSeq and is a predicted model, not a curated record. Lineage: Eukaryota; Metazoa; Chordata; Mammalia; Carnivora; Canidae. The transcript has 3 exons.